UUCAGGGGCCCCCAGCCUGGAAUUGAAUGGGCGGGGGGGUGGCGCGAACCGAGGGCCGGAUGUCUGCGCCCUGGCCUGCGCCCCGAUCUGUACAUGAGAGCAGGUGUGCGGUGUCCGCCCUGCGCCAGAAGCCCGGGGACAUCCUUCUCCUGUCUCCCUCCCUCCCUGCCUCUCCAUCUCUGACAUGUUUCGGUUCUGAUCGGCCUUCAUCCGUACAUUUAUUAACAAGUGUUUAUUGAGGCUCUGCUGCAUCCACGUUGGUCCCUCUCUUUCCUCCCUGUCCCUGUCCCUGAGGGUGCCUUGCGCCCCCUCCUUGCCGCUGGUAACCUCCCUCGCGUCUCAGUCUCAGUCUCUGCCGUGUGGGGGCCCCUCUGGCCCAGCCUCCGUGUCGCUCCCGUUCUCCGGGCCUCUGGGUUUUCACUCUCCCCUCUUUCUCUUUCUCGGUUUCAGGCCCCCCUCUGUCUCUGUGCCUCACUCCCGUUCCCGGGUUUCUCAGCGGACCCAGUCUCUGUUCCUCUCCCCCCGUGGUGGGCGUCUCGCUCGGCUUCCAUGCGUCGCUUUCGUCGGGGCUCUCGCGCUUCUCCGCCGCUGCAGAUCAAUAAACCUUCGCCGCCGCCGCCGCUGUCGCAGGGAGGAGGGGCAGGGAUGCGUGGCGCGCGCGAAUCCUCUCCCCUCCACGCCGGCCCUGAAGCUCGGGUCCUG
Long non-coding RNA from Myotis brandtii (Brandt's bat), 702 nucleotides. RefSeq lists it as uncharacterized. The transcript is spliced from 3 exons. Lineage: Eukaryota; Metazoa; Chordata; Mammalia; Chiroptera; Vespertilionidae. The record is from RefSeq and is a predicted model, not a curated record.